UGAUGUGUCAAAGUGACUGUGGUUGCAUC
Molecule: non-coding RNA, 29 nt
Filed under: Rattus norvegicus (Norway rat)
Lineage: Eukaryota; Metazoa; Chordata; Mammalia; Rodentia; Muridae
Source: RNAcentral